GUCCCCAUCGUCUAGAGGCUCAGGACAUUGCCCUUUCACGGCAGUAACACCGGUUCGAAUCCGGUUGGGGACGCCA
RNAcentral lists this transfer RNA (76 nucleotides) under Coxiellaceae bacterium. RNAcentral describes it as "tRNA-Glu". It matches the Rfam family "tRNA". Rfam says of the family: Transfer RNA (tRNA) molecules are approximately 80 nucleotides in length. Their secondary structure includes four short double-helical elements and three loops (D, anti-codon, and T loops). Lineage: Bacteria; Pseudomonadati; Pseudomonadota; Gammaproteobacteria; Legionellales; Coxiellaceae. The record is from RNAcentral.